UGCAAGUCGAACGAACUCUGGUAUUGAUUGGUGCUUGCAUCAUGAUUUACAUUUGAGUGAGUGGCGAACUGGUGAGUAACACGUGGGAAACCUGCCCAGAAGCGGGGGAUAACACCUGGAAACAGAUGCUAAUACCGCAUAACAACUUGGACCGCAUGGUCCGAGCUUGAAAGAUGGCUUCGGCUAUCACUUUUGGAUGGUCCCGCGGCGUAUUAGCUAGAUGGUGGGGUAACGGCUCACCAUGGCAAUGAUACGUAGCCGACCUGAGAGGGUAAUCGGCCACAUUGGGACUGAGACACGGCCCAAACUCCUACGGGAGGCAGCAGUAGGGAAUCUUCCACAAUGGACGAAAGUCUGAUGGAGCAACGCCGCGUGAGUGAAGAAGGGUUUCGGCUCGUAAAACUCUGUUGUUAAAGAAGAACAUAUCUGAGAGUAACUGUUCAGGUAUUGACGGUAUUUAAC
RNAcentral lists this ribosomal RNA (462 nucleotides) under Lactiplantibacillus plantarum. RNAcentral describes it as "bacterial SSU rRNA". It matches the Rfam family "Bacterial small subunit ribosomal RNA", at positions 56 to 483 of the family's 1533-position model. Lineage: Bacteria; Bacillati; Bacillota; Bacilli; Lactobacillales; Lactobacillaceae. The record is from RNAcentral.